UUGGAGGGCAAGUCUGGUGCCAGCAGCCGCGGUAAUUCCGGCUCCAAUAGCGUAUAUUAAAGUUGUUGCAGUUAAAAAGCUCGUAGUUGAAUUUCGGGAUCAAUAUUUCGGUCAUGCCGUUGGUAUGCACUGUUAUCAUUGAUUUCUCACCUUCUAAAGAACCGUAAUGCCAUUAAUUUGGUGUUACGGGGAAUUAGGACUGUUACCUUGAAAAAAUUAGAGUGUUUAAAGCAGGC
Molecule: ribosomal RNA, 236 nt
Filed under: Funneliformis mosseae
Lineage: Eukaryota; Fungi; Glomeromycota; Glomeromycetes; Glomerales; Glomeraceae
Description: partial 18S ribosomal RNA
Rfam family: Eukaryotic small subunit ribosomal RNA
Source: RNAcentral